RNAcentral lists this ribosomal RNA (495 nucleotides) under uncultured bacterium. RNAcentral's name for it is "partial 16S ribosomal RNA". It matches the Rfam family "Bacterial small subunit ribosomal RNA", at positions 28 to 507 of the family's 1533-position model. The record is from RNAcentral.
GACGAACGCUGGCGGCGUGCCUAAUACAUGCAAGUAGAACGCUGAAGGAGGAGCUUGCUUCUCCGGAUGAGUUGCGAACGGGUGAGUAACGCGUAGGUAACCUGCCUGGUAGCGGGGGAUAACUAUUGGAAACGAUAGCUAAUACCGCAUAACAGUAGAUGUUGCAUGACAUUUGCUUAAAAGGUGCAAUUGCAUCACUACCAGAUGGACCUGCGUUGUAUUAGCUAGUUGGUGAGGUAAAGGCACACCAAGGCGACGAUACAUAGCCGACCGGAGAGGGGGAUCGGCCCAACGGGGACUGGGACACGGCCCAGACUCCUACGGGAGGCAGCAGUAGGGAAUCUUCGGCAAUGGACGGAAGUCUGACCGAGCAACGCCGCGUGAGUGAAGAAGGUUUUCGGAUCGUAAAGCUCUGUUGUAAGAGAAGAACGAGUGUGAGAGUGGAAAGUUCACAAUGUGACGGUAUCUUACCAGAAAGGGACGGCUAACUACGUG